This 253-nucleotide ribosomal RNA is filed under the name uncultured bacterium. Its description in RNAcentral is "partial 16S ribosomal RNA". It matches the Rfam family "Bacterial small subunit ribosomal RNA", at positions 524 to 776 of the family's 1533-position model. The record is from RNAcentral.
UACGAAGGGGGCGAGCGUUGUUCGGAUUUACUGGGCGUAAAGGGCGCGCAGGCGGCUCAUUUUGUCAGGCGUGAAAGCCCCGGGCUUAACCUAGGAACUGCGUUUGAUACGGAUGGGCUAGAGUUCGGGAGAGGAGAGUGGAAUUCCCAGUGUAGAGGUGAAAUUCGUAGAUAUUGGGAAGAACACCGGUGGCGAAGGCGGCUCUCUGGACCGAUACUGACGCUGAGGCGCGAAAGCGUGGGGAGCAAACAGG